This 274-nucleotide ribosomal RNA is filed under the name uncultured bacterium. RNAcentral describes it as "partial 16S ribosomal RNA". It matches the Rfam family "Bacterial small subunit ribosomal RNA", at positions 28 to 301 of the family's 1533-position model. The record is from RNAcentral.
GAUGAACGCUAGCGGCAGGCCUAAUACAUGCAAGUCGGACGGGAUUCAGGUGCUUGCACCUGAUGAGAGUGGCGCACGGGUGCGUAACACGUAUGUAACCUACCUUUGUCAGGGGGAUAGCCUCUCGAAAGAGAGAUUAAGCCCGCAUAAAAUCACAUUGUGGCAUCACAGAGUGAUCAAAUAUUUAUAGGACAAAGAUGGGCAUGCGGAACAUUAGCUAGUUGGCGAGGUAACGGCUCACCAAGGCUACGAUGUUUAGGGGAUCUGAGAGGAU